Molecule: unclassified non-coding RNA, 3010 nt
Filed under: Acromyrmex echinatior (Panamanian leafcutter ant)
Lineage: Eukaryota; Metazoa; Arthropoda; Insecta; Hymenoptera; Formicidae
Description: dopamine receptor 2, transcript variant X2
Source: RNAcentral
AAACCGUAGGAUGCGUCGAAGAAUAUAGAUUAUAAUCGUACGUGUGACCCGCGUUAGCCAGAGCAGAUUUAGAAAAUAGCAUCUAAGUAAAAAAUAAGACUGAAAAAAACUAAAACUAAAAAACCGGCGUACUUUGGUGACGUCACACGUAGGAAAAAUCUGCGUCAUAUCUGGUGGAUAUCCGUGACGCACGUGCAAGAAACAGGGGUGCUUCGAGCAAAAGUUGAUAAGGGCGAAAGUGCGUGUGUGUGUGCGCUCGGGGGUGAUGCAGCUUGACGCGGCUCGGUGCGGCGCGCAAGCGCGACGGUUGCAGAGCUUUCGAGCCACGCGAUGGUAGCAGUUGGCCUUCUAAAACCGCGAAACACGUCCCGCGUUCUCUCGAAGGAAGAGGAGUAUCCGCGAGGAUAAGCCCACGUUUUUUUCUUCCCCCGUUUAAAGUGUACGUUCGUGCGCGUUAUUAGAGAAAGAAUCGGAAGACGUCCCCGAUCGUCGUCUAUCGUGAUCGUCCUUUCUCGCUUCUUGCGUUCGAUUUCAUUUGACACUGACACCCAACACACGUACCAAAUCACGGUAAAUACCAACAACACCCUCGUCGUCUGUGUCUCGAACGUCAUGACAUCGUGCAUCAUUUUAUCGCGAUCGAACGCUGGCGAUCAGGAAAGACCCUGACCUUGAAAGUCCACGUGCAAACGUCAGAUUAGAGGAUAAUUAACACGCGUUAACCAACGACAAUGCGUUAAUGGAGAACAACCGCGGUACCCGCGUAUUUUCUUCAUCGGAAAAAUAUAUAACGAUUAGUUCGUAAUAAUAUACAAAUGAUAACGAUAUUUGAAAGAAUGAUAAUCCUAAUCGAAUGAAAAUACUGAAGAAAUAGGAGAAAUCUAAACUUUUGACUCUUGAUUAUGCCUAUGUGAUGAUUGUGUUCUAUACUUUACUGUCGUACUUUAGUAUCGCGGCUGAAAAGGACACGUUGUGCCAAAUGUUCUUUCAUCAGAUAGAUACAUGAUAAAUAUGUUGGCAAAGUUUAACCAAGCUUUAUAAGAUACAAUCAAAUCAUACAAUGACAACUUAGCAAAUGUAAAAUACAACAGCAACCUUAUUAAGAAUUGUAAUGACUCGAAAUAUCUUAGCGAGACGAGAUGAGAGGACAGACGAAAAUGAGAGAUCUCGCAAAUGUAUACGCAAUGCUAAUGCCCUGACGUUUAGUCGUCUAGGGAAAAUUAAGAGGAUCAAGAUCCUUGGACAAUCGCACGUCAGGGUGAUUAUGGUCGAAAAACCGUCGUAGUAGUACGGCUGCGCACGGUAAAACAUGAAUGACAGCGAGAUCUAUCUAUUGAACUGGGAAGAAGAGGUACAUGCAUUAAACAACGAUCUUGAUAGAAGCUUUUAUAACGCGAACUAUCCGUCGUUUAAUCAUACCUAUGAGGAUCUCUGGGAACUCGCUACGGAUCGAAUCGGUCUCGCGAUCGUUUUAUUACUCUUCUCCGUAGCUACCGUUUUCGGCAACUCGUUAGUGAUUCUCGCGGUAUUCCGAGAGAGGCAUCUGCACACAGCUACGAACUACUUUGUGACUUCACUGGCUUGCGCCGAUUGCCUGGUAGGACUGGUAGUGAUGCCAAUUAGCGCGGUAUACGAGGUAUUGGAGAACCGUUGGCUGUUCACGACGGACUGGUGUGACGUUUGGCGCUCGCUCGAUGUUCUUUUCUCCACCGCGUCCAUUCUAAACCUGUGCGUUAUUAGCCUAGAUCGCUACUGGGCGAUUACCGAUCCCUUUACGUAUCCGACUCGAAUGAGUAGGAAACGCGCCGCGAUCCUAAUCGCCAUCGUAUGGAUUUGUUCGAGUGCGAUCUCCUUUCCUGCGAUAGCGUGGUGGCGUGCCGUUCGUACUGAGCAAGUGCCCGCAGACAAGUGUCCCUUCACGGAGAAUCUCGGUUACCUGAUAUUCUCGUCGACAAUCAGUUUUUACCUACCGCUAUUCGUGAUGGUAUUCACGUAUUACAGAAUCUAUCGCGCCGCCGUGAUACAGACGAGGAGUCUAAAACUCGGCACGAAGCAGGUGAUGAUGGCCUCGGGCGAGCUCGAACUCACGUUGAGGAUACAUCGGGGCGGUACAACCACCAACACCGACGCUAGACAUCUUUUUCGCACCGCCUCGAGCACACCCGAAGAUCUGCAAGAUCUCGAGGAACCGUUAACAGCUCUUCACAACAAUGGUCUCACUAGAGUACCCUCCGCGAGGAUCAGCAAUAAACAACACCUAGGAAAAAAUUUCUCUCUCUCGCGUAAACUCGCCAAGUUCGCCAAAGAGAAAAAGGCGGCGAAGACCCUUGGUAUCGUUAUGGGGGUAUUUAUUAUUUGCUGGCUACCGUUCUUCGUUGUGAAUCUAUGGUCGGGAUUCUGCACGAGGUGCAUAUGGCAAGAAGAAAUCGUAUCUGCGGCCGUCACUUGGCUUGGCUGGAUUAACAGCGGAAUGAACCCCGUAAUAUACGCUUGCUGGAGCAGAGAUUUUCGUAGAGCUUUCGUAAGAAUUCUGUGCUAUUGUUGUCCCAGAAAAAUGAAACGACGAUAUCAGCCAGCAUUUAGAUGUAAACCGAGUCAGAAAUUCGCAUCCGGACGAUACUACUCCGCGUAUUCCCUUCAUCACGUACGGGGAAGUCGAGAAAAUUCCGGCGAGCAAACCUACAUUUAACAACGGAAUAUCAUCGCGAGCUGGUCAUCGAUCGCUGGUCGUGGAAUCCCUCGAGACCUUUUCUUUAUUUCUGUUUAUCGCUUAUCCUUCGUCCUUAAUGCAAUAUAGAUAAAGCAGUAUAUAGUUUAACUAUUGGUAAUUCCAAGCAAUCACAAUCCUCUGUCCGUUUUCCAAAACCCUUAUAUAUCAAAGAUCAACGAGCAUCAACGAACAUCAACGUAUUCUUAUAGAAUAUAAAUUCUCGUACAUCUCCGGAAUGGCAACGGGAGGACAGGCGAGUAAUGUGAGCUAUAGUAGCGUCAGUCAGAGCAGCGAUGGUGG